This is a long non-coding RNA of Homo sapiens (human), 377 nucleotides long. RefSeq lists it as uncharacterized. Lineage: Eukaryota; Metazoa; Chordata; Mammalia; Primates; Hominidae. The transcript has 3 exons. The record is from RefSeq and is a predicted model, not a curated record.
CUCCUUAAUGCCUUGCCAGCUGGAAGGAAAAGAGCCUCUUGCAUUGCCCACAAAGGAAGCAGAGAUUGAGGGGAGAAGAACUGGAGAAAUUAAAAAAGUGGAAAGAGACAGCAACACAAAUAAAGAGGUUGAGUACCAGUAGAAACCUCAUAUUUACCUGGAAGAUUACUUUUAGGAAGCUUGAAGAAUUCUCUCUUCCAACUUGGUUAAUCUGAGUUCUGUGGCACCUACAAGAGAAAUGGCUGCUUAUAUGUGACAACCUGCAGAUCUGAGCAGCAGGGGAACAAAGGCAGGGCCAACACAAUGGCACUGGUCCCGUUGAGUCCUGGGGAGUCCUCAGCUUUCAGGAGUCCCCUGAAUAUGGGGCAACCCCACAG